Molecule: long non-coding RNA, 4317 nt
Filed under: Equus caballus (horse)
Lineage: Eukaryota; Metazoa; Chordata; Mammalia; Perissodactyla; Equidae
Description: lncRNA (ENSECAG00000053514.1)
Source: RNAcentral
UAGAGGUUCAGCUGCUGUAACAAACCGCAAAAUAACAGUAGUUAAAUAAGAAGAAAGUGUAUUUCUCUCUCACGUAACAAGCAGUGCAGGCUUGAUCAUGUCUCCAUCGUGUCAGUGGCCCAGGAUUCCGCCAUCUGUUGCUCUGCCCGUCCCUUGCAUGUUGCCCUCACCAUAUGGUCCUAAUGGCUGCCACCAUCUCUGUAUUCCAGAAAGGAGGCUGGAGCAACAAGGGCUCCUCCGCCCCCUUAACAACGUAACCCAGAAACUGUUCACACCACUUCCACCCAAUCCCAUUGGACAGAACUUCGCCUGUGACCACACCGAGCUACAGCGCAGACUGGGCUAUGCUGGGCUAUAGGUAAGAAGCCGGCAAGGAGGGGGAACCCGGUAAAAGUAGUGAACGGAUCUAUCAAUCGACGUCCAGCAGAUGGUUCAAACGGGCACCCAGCACAUUUCAUGAACGAAUGAAUCAAUCCACGUCUAGCAGACUGUACCAACGCCUUAAUUCUUCCCCACCUGCAGGGAUAAGCUGAACGAAGCCUGUGUGUGCACGUGCACACAAUCACACGUUCACCGGUUGUGAGGGGAGACUGGCAGACCUUAGCACCUUCAGACUACUGUGGGUCGGCUCAUCCCCUCCUUGAGAAACGGAAGCGACACAGAGCGACACAGCUCAAGGGAAAGAGGUACUUUGCCCCCCAGACACUACAAAUCAGGUACAUCUUUCUCACUCCCUGCCCGAAGACCCUCAUACUCAGGAAAAUAUUCUCUCUCAGCAGCAUCUACACUCUCCCACCGGCCCCAGCCCCGACUCCUGGCCCCCCCAGGCCACUGAGCCCCCCUCGAUGACAGCCUCCUCAGGUUCCCCAAAGUAGGACACCCAGGCGUUUGGCACUCUACUCCUUCCACAGCACAGUGGGUUCUGGAACGUUCUGAGGAAUGGGCUUUUUUUGGCCCAGGAGGGCAAACCCCAAGAAUCAGAUAAACACCAGCGCAGGCCUCCAGCCCCCUGGGGGGCCCAUUCCGAGGCCCGGCGCGCGCAGGGACCGCCACGCCGCCUCUGCGCUGGGCGCACACCUACCGCCCUGGCCGGCGUCCCGGUGUCGCACCCAGAGCACUGAGCGCGCCCCGAAACUCCGCGCUCCUGCUGGGCCCCGCUCCCAGCUGUCAGGGCAGCCAAGUGGGCUGUCACAAAAAAGGGAAAAAGCACAUGAAACGUUUCGGGUUGUUUUUAUGGGCCUCGGCGGCCCCCGCUCCUCCCCCGGGCUCCCAUGGCAGACACACAAGUAUGAGUUCAGACCCUGCACGACACAUUUCGGACGGGCUGGUGACGCCAGCCCCGGGGAGUACAAGAGGCUGGCUUGUGCGCCCCGAGGGGCAUUUUCCGUCCGGGCCGGGACCUUCCGCUGGCAGCGCCUGGGACCCGAGCCUCGUCCGCCCAGCGCCCACGCGGCCUCGGGGCCCCCUGGCACCCGCUGACGUGCGGGGAGGACAGAAGGGCCCAGACCCGGCCUCUGGCUGCCCAAAUAUUUGCCUCCCAGCCGUAGCCCAGCAAGCAGCCCAGGGCCCGAGCAGUUCAAAGGCCUUGUGCUUUUCCUGGCACAGCUGGGCGAAUUCUGGAGGCCACAGGAGAUGGUGGAGAGGGCCUUCUUGGGCCUGGAGCCCGGUCCGCUGCCCACUGCAUAGGUUCUUCCAGCCUCCGGACUAGAGAGGUGACUCCAGGGCCAGGUGGACAGUCUGGCUGCCUCCCGUCCCCUUUGAGGGCCCCUCCCUCUGGCCCAUCCAAAUAGCUACUGCCUCUUUCUAAUGAUUCCUGGAUCCUCUAAAAGCUGAAAGUGUUUAAGAGAGGUAUCAGGGAGGCCCUGCUAGGUGUCAGGUGCUGUACUGACACUGUCAUGGUUAUUAUCUCAUUAAAUCCUCCCAACAUCCCUGUGAGAAGGUAGCAUUGUCUCUACCUGAAAAGUAAAAAUGCUUGUGCUCAGAGAGGUUAAGUUACCUGUCCAGGUUCACACAGCUAGUGAAUGGGGAUGCUGGCACAGAAAACCAGGACUGCCUCAAUCCAAAGCUCAUGCUUUUGCCUCCUGCUGCCUCCUGGGGAGAAAUGAGGGAGCUUGAAAGAGCUUCUUGAGAAGCCCAGUCACUCUUGAUUUGGGGAUGGCACCAAGCAUGUGCUGUGCAACACUGGGCAAUCGUCCCCUCCUCUCUGGUCUAGAGUGUCACCAUCUGUGCAGUGAAGGGCAUGGAUCUGAUGUUUUCUUAGGUCUCCCCUGUCUCUUGCACUUGACCCUGGUGAGCUCUGCCUGCAGAACACACCCACGCCUCACUCAGGCCUCCUCAUUCACCCCAAGGUUGCUAUCCUGACCUCCAGCUGCCUCCGUAUCUGUGGUGGGCACAUCCACAGUAUCGCCAUAGGAGCCCACAAGGGCUGUGGAACUGGCCCUGUACAACAUCCACACUCUUCAGCUCCAUGUUCAAGGCCUCUCAAAGUCUGGCCCCUGCUCUCAGCACAAAGCAUGCUGGGACACCAGACCCAGAGGACUAGAGGAAGAAGAAAGGGUGAGGAGAUGGAGGCUGACGGGGCCAGGGCUGCAGCCGAGCUUGGCUGAGGAUCCAGGCCUUGGGAGCUCUCUGCGUGGGGCAGUGGGCGGUGUGCUGGGGGCUCAGGCACAAUGGGAGAGACAGCAGAGGCUGCUGGGAGCUUGGCUCUGUCUUGGGACUAAGGAAGCUGCUGGGAGUUCAGGGCCUGGCUCCUGAGGGACACAAAGGGUUAGCCAGGAACCCAAUGCAGCUAUGGGUUGUUGAGGCAGAGUGGGGGAGGAAACCUCCCCUUAGUCCUCAUGCAGGCCUGGUUUGCUGCCCACCUUAGCUCUGCCUCCCAGGACGGGCUGGGGCUGAAUCCUCUGAUGGGCAGCCCAGCCGGCCUCACCCAGGACUGAUGCAGGAGCACUUGGGAACACACGCUGGUGUGGCAGCCCUUCAUGCUGGAGAUUCCAGCUGUGUUUCCUGCCCCCAGCUGCUGUGUCUCCCUCUGACCCCCCACCAAAUGGUUCUCACUUCUCAAGACUCAGUCUCUUCUCCCUCCUUACUGCCCUUCUGCUCCUCCUUCUCCAGGAAGCCCCCACCAAUCCCACCUUGAUCAACAGGCCUGGGUGGCAGGUAACUUACACGACCUUGCCUUAUUUUUAGACAGUUGUUUCUCAAAGGAGACCUUAGAGUCCUCAAGAAUCCACACAGAGCCCCUCCUUCUCCGAACCCACUUGCUCAGCACACGGCUGAGCCGGUGGGAGGUGCUCAUGUGUUCACUCAAUCACUGAUUCAACAACAGCGAAGAUUUUCUGAGCCAGGCCACAUGCUAUGUGGCAGAGACAGAGGACAAAGGUGACCUUGGUCAAGGGGUUAUCAGACCUAGAAUCAGAGUAUGGGUUCUUUGAGAUUAGGGCCACUGAGGUGGUGGCAAAGGUGAAAACAACUCACAGAAAGAACUCGUGGAAAUGUUCCUUAAGGGGGUCACACGGGGCUGGUGCAACUCUGGGAUGUCUACAGAGCAAGGAGGAGCGGGAGGAACAGAGGAAGAGCAGGCUGCAAAAGCAGGACCAGGCUCUCAUUGGACAAACAGGACAGCCCCUGAGGGGCUUUGGCCCUGAAAGCCACGGGAAGCCAUGAAACGUGGAAUAUCUAGUCAGAUUCCCCUUUUGGAAAAAUCUCAAAACAUUUCGAAGACCUCCCUGUCUAGAUGACCUUGGAUGAGUAUCUUGAGGGCUCUGAGUUACAGCUUCCUCAUCAGCAAAAUGAGAAGAAUAAUGCCUAUCCUUUAUAAAGCACUAUUGCUGGGCAAAGGUUGUUGGCAACAGUGAUGAUAAUAACAGAAGAGGAGGAUAGGAAGGGACCUCCCCUCUCCCCGCAACCUCCCCACGUCGUCCAGAGGGGCCUGGGGCCGGGGCCAGAGCCAGGGCCCAGAGUCUCCUUGCUGAGCAGGAACCUCAGCCUCAGGGUGGCCCACCGGCCCUCUCCCUGCCCAGCUGCCCAGGCCUGGGAACAGACAGGCCCAGCCCUCUCAGAUUAUUCCCAUCCUGGCAUCUGCCUUUGGUUAAAUGCACAGCUCGUCCCACAAACUUGGAACAUCAGCCAUAAACAGAGCAUCUGCAUGGCGGCCGCUGGUGUUUAAAAAUAGCCCGGCCUUGGGAACCGCAUUUCCCUGCCCUGGGGAGCUUCUGCGAUGGGAGAAGGACCGUCUUUCUGGGAUUUAGCCCUCCAGCGUCCUCUCCGGGUCCCAGGCUGGGGCGGGAGGGGGCUGCCAUGCUGGUGCAGUGCCCGAUG